CCAAUACACGCAAACUGUAUAUAUAUCGAAACACAAGCUUAAGGCAAAAUCACAUCUGUCAACGUCAAAUGAAAUGUAAAUGCAUGUGGUGGUGUGCAAGUUGCUAGCUCCGUUCCCCUUCAGGCGCUUGAUGAGAAUAUGUGAUUCCACUCUUUACAUAUAACUACGUUCCAAUUCCUUCAAUCAACCAUCUACCCGCCAAAGAAAAAUUCCUAGACAGUCUAAAGUUUCAAUCCAGAGGGAACAGAUGGACAGUGGAAGGGAAAAUAGUGUAGAGAGUGGAGUUGGAUUGCAUGAUGAAAAUAUUAUCACAUCAGAAGAUGAAGAAUUGUCAGUAGGUGGGAUAUUUGAGAACGAGGAGGUACCUUCAUGGACAAAACAGUUAACUAUAAGAGCUUUUGUGGUGAGUUUUGUGUUGUCAGCAAUGUUAUGCUUCAUAGUGAUGAAACUCUACUUCAGUCUUGGUAUUAUACCACCAAUGAAUGUUGCUGCUGGGCUAUUGGGAUUUUUCUUUGUCAAGACUUGGACUAAAACACUGGAGAAAGCUGGCAUUUUGAAGCAGGCCUUGACCCGCCAAGAAGUUACAGUCAUUCAGACCUGCGUUAUUGCCUCCACAGGCAUUGCUUUUAGCGGUCAGUACAUAUGGAUCCAAUCAUUCUUCUUUUCCCCUUGCGCGCACAGUUGUAUAUAGAAUAUCUUACAUGAGCACCUUGUACAGGAGGCUUUGGAAGUUACCUGUUUGGAAUGAGUGAACGUGUUGCCAAUCAAGCAGCAGAAGCCAAGUAUGAGUUGGACUACAAGAACCCAGCACUAGGCUGGGUGAUUGGCUUUCUUUUUUUAACUAGCUUCUUGGGUCUUUUCUCGGUGGUUCCUCUUCGAAAGCUAUGCUGGACACUGUUAUACAAUUCAACACAUAAAAUUUUUACGUUUUUGAAUCGUGAAUGAUGUGUCACAUUUUUUUUGUCUAGCUAAUGAUCAUAGACUUGAAGUUGGUGUAUCCCAGUGGUACUACCACUGCAUAUUUUAUUAACAGCUUCCACGCUCUUGGAGGGGCAAAACUAGCAAAGUAAGUAGCUAAUAGCUAUUCCGGUUAAAAUUAACACCUCUCAUAUAGGUACAGUAUAGAGAAAAUAUAAAAUAAAUCUAAUCGGUAAAUAUCAAGAAUAAGAAGGAUUGGUUCAUUAUGUAUUCAGGAAGCAAGUCAGAGAAUUUGGCAAGUUUUUCUCAUUUAGCUUCUUAUGGGGUUUCUUCCAAUGGUUCUUCACGGCUGGUGAUGAUUGUGGCUUCUCAAAAUUCCCAACAUUUGGAUUAAAAGCGUAUAAAUACACGUAAGCCUAAAAGGUUCUUUUUGUUAUUUAAGAAUUGGUCUCUGAUUUUUCAUUUCAAUAUACCGGGAGAUGUUUCCUGCUCAUUGCAGAACUUUAAAUGGUGUGACUGAGCAUCGUCGAACCGAAAUGCAGUUUGACUACUUUUCCAUUUAAGAUCUAAUCUUGAUCAUCAGAUAUAGACUCAAUUUCAGUUAAUAUAUAUAUCCAAUUCCAUGUCUGCAUGCCAGUACUAAAGUUAUCAUCAAACUAAGUCGUCUUAUGUUUCACUCAAAACCUUGUUUUGGAAGCUACAGGUUUUUCUUCGAUUUCUCAGCAUUGAAUGUUGGAGUAGGGAUGAUCUGCCCUCACAUCGUGAAUAUAUCUUUUCUUCUUGGAGGAAUACUUUCUUGGGGUAUUUUGAGGCCUCUCAUUGAAACUAGAAAGGGGGAUUGGUACUCUGCAGAUCUCGAGCCACAUAAUUUCCGGGGACUUUAUGGUUAUAUGGUGAAUUCCUAUUCCAUCAUAGUUUUCCCCAAUGCUGCCAUUUAUUAAUUUGCUUUUUCACGGAUACACUUCACUAAAACAAAAUGUCAACUAAAACUACAUCAGGUAUUCAUUGGCAUUUCCAUGUUUCUCGGUGAUGGCCUAUACAACUUUUUCAAGGUUCUAAGCCGAACUCUGGCUGGUUUGUAUUACAAAAUUCUACGCAGAAAUACAAACAUGCAAAUCCCAGUUGUAGGAAAUUCCUCUCCUGUACGAAAAUCACUCUCUUAUGAUGACCGACAUUGUACCGAAGUCUUUCUUAAGGAUCAAAUCCCAACAUGGUUUGCCGUUGGAGGUUAUUUUGCCCUUGCUGCAGUCUCUACUGCAAUCCUUCCUCACAUUUUCCACCAGCUCAAGUGGUACUACAUCAUUGUUAUAUACAUAUUUGCACCAAGCUUGGCCUUCUGUAAUGCGUAUGGGUGUGGGCUCACUGAUUGCUCAUUCGCAUCAAAUUACGGAAAACUAGCUGUCUUUACAAUUGGGGCAUGGGCGGGGGCAUCACAUGGUGGAAUACUUGCUGGUCUAGCAGCAUGUGGAGUGUUGCUUAAUAUAGUUUCCACUGCCUCUGACCUCAUGCAAGAUUUCAAGACCGGAUACUUGACCUUGGCUUCUCCUUGUUCAAUGUUCGUCAGCCAAGUGAUUGGGACUGCAAUGGGAUGUGUUAUUUCUCCUUGUGUCUUUUGGAUUUUCUACAAAGCUUUUUCUGAUCUCGGGCUUCCUACAAGUGAAUAUCCUGUCCCCUUAGCUACAGUGUCCUAUAAUAUGGCUAAACUAGGUGUUGAGGGCUUAUCGGCUCUUCCUACAGGUUGCCUCAAGCUAUGUUAUGGAUUUUUUGCUGCAUCCAUUCUCAUCAACUUAACCAGAGAUGCUUUGGGAAAGAAACGUUCAUGGUUUAUUCCAAUUCCAAUGGCAAUGGCAGUACCAUUUUUUUUGGGUUCACAGAUUGCUAUUGAUAUGUGUGUUGGAAGCCUCAUAAUUUACGUAUGGCAAAAGAAAAAUAAGGCCAAUGCUGACGCCUUUGGGCCUGCCGUGGCAACUGGUUUGAUUUGUGGUGACGGGAUGUGGACUUUGCCUAAAUGUAUACUAGCUCUAGUCGGAGUGAAACCUCCAAUUUGCAUGAUGUUCAUUUCAAGGGCUACUUAUAAUAAGUUAGAUUAAGUACUAGAAUCCUAGAUAGGCCAGGGGAAAGAUUAACUAAUAUGCCAACAAGUAUCAUCUUCAUAAUCUGUAGACUUUAAAAUAUUAUCCUGUAACUAUAAAUAAGAGAAUCAAUUCAUGUUUCUGCAGUAUGAAACUGAUGAUUUAUUU
RNAcentral lists this long non-coding RNA (3158 nucleotides) under Olea europaea subsp. europaea. The record is from RNAcentral. Lineage: Eukaryota; Viridiplantae; Streptophyta; Magnoliopsida; Lamiales; Oleaceae.